GCCAGCGGAAAUAGCACGUUGAAUGUACCAGUUCUUCAUCGACCACUGAAGUUAAGCAACGUUGCAGAUGGUUGGUAUCUGGAUGGAUGUGCUGUUUUUUGACCUCACCCAGUA
This 114-nucleotide ribosomal RNA is filed under the name Diaphorina citri (Asian citrus psyllid). Lineage: Eukaryota; Metazoa; Arthropoda; Insecta; Hemiptera; Psyllidae. The record is from RNAcentral.